UACAGAGGUCCCGAGCGUUGUUCGGAUUUAUUGGGCGUAAAGGGUGCGUAGGUGGCAAAGUAAGUUGGAUGUGAAAUCCUGGGGCUCAACCUCAGAAUUGCAUUCAAUACUGCUUAGCUAGAGAGCUGUAGAGGAGACUGGAAUUUACGGUGUAGCAGUGAAAUGCGUAGAUAUCGGAAAGAACACCAACGGCGAAAGCACUCUGCUGGGCCGACACUGACACUGAGAGACGAAAGCUAGGGGAGCAAAUGGG
RNAcentral lists this ribosomal RNA (253 nucleotides) under uncultured bacterium. RNAcentral describes it as "partial 16S ribosomal RNA". It matches the Rfam family "Bacterial small subunit ribosomal RNA", at positions 524 to 776 of the family's 1533-position model. The record is from RNAcentral.